UACAGCAACUUCACCCACAGCUACCAUGACUUUGAUCCCCAUCUUCAUCUGGACACUGAUCCUCUGGACUCAAGAAUGCAGAGGUCAAGUCACAGUAACUCAGACUCCUGCAGUGAAAUCUGCUCUUCCAGGAGAAACAGUCACCAUCAACUGUAGAACCAGUCAGGCAGUCUCUAGAGACUCAAACGGUGACUGGCUACACUGGUAUCAGCAGAAACCUGGAGAAGCUCCUAAACUCCUGAUUAAGUUCGCAAAUCAGCGACAGUCAGGUAUUCCAGCUCGUUUCAGUGGCAGUGGAUCUGGAUCUGAUUUCACUCUGACCAUCAGUGGAGUCCAGACUGAAGAUGCAGGAGAUUACUACUGUCAGAGUUACCAUUCCAUUUCUGGCUACUGGUUCACACAGUGUUAUAGAGUCAUACAAAAACCUCCCUCAGUCAGAUUGUAGAGAGACUGAACUGCUGCAGCUGGGAGUGACUGCAGGUGCUGAGAUGGACGAUGUGGUACUGCACAAUGACACUAUGAGACACACUCCUGACACAUACACACCUAAUAAUCAAUUUUACAUAAGUUAUGGAGUUAAUAGAGACUUAUUGUGUAUAAGUACAGAGGACUAAUAAUUAAUGUAUACUCUGGCAUUAAGAGUAAAAACACAGGGUGACAUGUCAGCAUUGAGGCAGGUCUAGUAGGUUUGAACUAUUUCUCCAUAUAUUCAGAUACAUUUCCCUAAACUGCAUUAAACUGCAAUUAAUUUACACUAAAAACUAAUCUACAUUUAAGGUAGAUGGACAUUUAGAGACAUUUUAUGCAUUAAAACUAUAUUAAAAAAACUAUAUAUUAAAACUAAAAUUAUAUAAUUUUAAUAUAAUUCCAGUGCAUAUACCGUAAAUAUCGAAAGUUUUCAGACCCUUUUACACAUCACACUCUCAUCAGUCUACAUAAAAUACUCCAUAAUUGUUGUUGUUUUUUCGGCUGCUCCCAGUUUGGGGUCACCACAGUGGAUCAUUUGGUCUGCAUGUUUUGAUUUGGUACAGGUUUUACACCGGAUGCCCUUCCUGAAGCAACCCUCCCAUGUUAUCCAGGCUUGGGGCCGGCAUUGAGAGUUAACUCUUCAGUGGCUGGGUUACGUCUCUGCCCUGGGAUUCGAACCCGGGCCCAGCAAAGAGAGCACGGUAGCCUGCCACUGGACCACCAGGAGGCUAUAAAAUACUCCACAAUUAUGAAGCAUAAAACCGGUUAAUGAAAUAUUUUAAAAUACAAGAUAAGAUACAAGAUUUCUGCAGCACUGAAAGUACCAAAGUGUGUGUGUGUGUGUGUGUGUAGGUCUCAUCCAGCCCAGUGAGACAGUGCCGUAUUUUUUUGUAAAUAAUUUUGGCAGCUAUACUGAUACUUGCAAACUAAUAUUUAUUUUUCAUCCCACUACAAUAUAUUGGCUUACUUAAUGUAUAGCUAUUAAGUCCAUUUCAGGCUUUAACGCUACAAAAUAUAGAAAAGAUCAAGGCGGGGUGAAAAUUUGAACAAUCCACUGCACUGUAUCAUGCUUCAAGCGCCAAAAAAGGCUCCGACCCUGUAAUUAAAAAGCAAUGAAAUAAAAAGCACAAGUUGCACAGCAAGUAACGGUAAACAAAAAAGAAGUUCUGAGAACAUUUAUGAAAAUCCAGAUGAACUGAAAAUAUUAUAUGUAGCCUUACAUAUUAUAUUACAAAAGUCCUGCUCUGUCUCAUGACCAUUUUCUGAUAAUAGAACACUAUUUGCAUUAAUAUUAACUCUAAUUAAGUUUAUAUUUUAAUUAGUUCCUUGCUUUAACAUUUAGCAAUUAGUUGCACAUACUAUUUAUUUGUUACCUGAGUAUUAAUUUUUUAUUUAUUUAUUUAUUCCAAUCUGUUAUUGUGAUAUUGUAAUAUAACACCAUGAAUUUGUAUUUCCUUAAUAGGUUCACUGCACUUUACUGUAUCAGCUUUGAUAUUUAUAACUGAAUGAGUACACCAUCAUCUCUAGUCGGUGAGUCAAAUAUGCCUCACAGCUUCUCAGUGGUUUUGGCAUAUUAACCAGAUUAGCAAACACUAGCAAUAAUAAAUUAUCUUAAAUUCUAGCAACACUGCCAGGUACAGUGCUAAGCAACCAGAUUGUACAAAUUUAUUUUUAUGCACGUUAUGUUAGCUAAAAGCACAUAAUUCUAGCUUAGAUUAUCUAGGCUGAUAUCUCUUAUCUUAGGGACAGUGGUAGCUCAGUGGUUAAGCCAUUGGAUUACUGCUGAGAAGGUUGUUCGCUCAAAAUCCAGCACUGCCAAGCUGCUAUUGUUGGGCCCUUGAUCAAGGUGUAACGUAGCGUCAGACGUAGGGGUAUUAGAAUCCAUACGCGGAUGAUGUAAAGGGCCAAAGGCUAAGAUCUUGGUCGAGGUCACAGAAAAGAUAGAGUCGAAAACCAGAAAGCAAUGAAGAGAAAGUCAAAACCAAAACGCUAGUCCAAGAAACGAAGUCAGAAGAAAAACGAGCAAGGUCAUACACGAGGAAAUGAGACUAUAGAUAAAUCAAGGCUUGGCAGGUAACACAAAGGAAACAAUGCUUCGCAAUGAAACUAGGAUAGCGUGCGGUUUAUAUAAGUCAUAGAACCGGAAGUGAACAGAAACAGUUAAUAUUCGGGCGACGGCUCCCUCUGGCGUUCAGGCCUCGUGACACAAGGUCCUACUGCCCAAUUGUAUAAAUAUAAGCUGCUGGCUAAGGGCAUUUGCAAAAUAUACAAUUUUUUUUAACAUAGUUCACAUGAGUUAAUGGAUAUAACAACCAGG
Non-coding RNA from Hemibagrus wyckioides, 2785 nucleotides. The record is from the annotation of a RefSeq genome assembly. Lineage: Eukaryota; Metazoa; Chordata; Actinopteri; Siluriformes; Bagridae.